AUUGAACGCUAGCGGGAGGCUUAACACAUGCAAGUCGAGGGGCAGCAUAGGGUAGCAAUACUCUGAUGGCGACCGGCAAACGGGUGAGUAACGCGUAUGCAACCUACCCUGUACAGGGGGAUAACCCGGAGAAAUUCGGACUAAUAUCCCGUAAUAAUAUCCGGAGGCAUCUUUGGAUAUUUAAAGUUCCGACGGUACGGGAUGGGCAUGCGUAACAUUAACUGGUUGGUAAGGUAACGGCUUACCAAGGCUAUGAUGUUUAGGGGUCCUGAGAGGGUGGUCCCCCACACUGGUACUGAGACACGGACCAGACUCCUACGGGAGGCAGCAGUGAGGAAUAUUGGUCAAUGGGCGCAAGCCUGAACCAGCCAUCCCGCGUGCAGGAAGACGGCCCUAUGGGUUGUAAACUGCUUUUCCAGGGAGAGAAACUUACGCACGUGUUGCGUGACUGACGGUACCCUGGGAAUAAGCAUCGGCUAACUCCGUG
This 487-nucleotide ribosomal RNA is filed under the name uncultured bacterium. RNAcentral's name for it is "bacterial SSU rRNA". It matches the Rfam family "Bacterial small subunit ribosomal RNA", at positions 30 to 507 of the family's 1533-position model. The record is from RNAcentral.